AUCGGAGACAGGUGCUGCAUGGCUGUCGUCAGCUCGUGUCGUGAGAUGUUGGGUUAAGUCCCGCAACGAGCGCAACCCUCGCCCUUAGUUGCCAGCAUUUAGUUGGGCACUCUAAGGGGACUGCCGGUGAUAAGCCGAGAGGAAGGUGGGGAUGACGUCAAGUCCUCAUGGCCCUUACGGGCUGGGCUACACACGUGCUACAAUGGUGGUGACAGUGGGCAGCGAGACCGCGAGGUCGAGC
This 241-nucleotide ribosomal RNA is filed under the name Bartonella krasnovii. RNAcentral describes it as "Candidatus Bartonella krasnovii partial 16S ribosomal RNA". It matches the Rfam family "Bacterial small subunit ribosomal RNA", at positions 1027 to 1268 of the family's 1533-position model. Lineage: Bacteria; Pseudomonadati; Pseudomonadota; Alphaproteobacteria; Hyphomicrobiales; Bartonellaceae. RNAcentral also lists the same sequence under 1 other name. The record is from RNAcentral.